This 426-nucleotide ribosomal RNA is filed under the name uncultured soil bacterium. RNAcentral's name for it is "bacterial SSU rRNA". It matches the Rfam family "Bacterial small subunit ribosomal RNA", at positions 26 to 439 of the family's 1533-position model. The record is from RNAcentral.
AGGACGAACGCUGGCGGCGUGCUUAACACAUGCAAGUCGAGCGGUAAGGCCCUUUCGGGGGUACACGAGCGGCGAACGGGUGAGUAACACGUGAGCAAUCUGCCCUUCACUUCGGGAUAAGCCUCGGAAACGGGGUCUAAUACCGGAUAUGACUGCGCCAUGCAUGUGGUGUGGUGGAAAGUUCUGGCGGUGAGGGAUGAGCUCGCGGCCUAUCAGCUUGUUGGUGGGGUAAUGGCCUACCAAGGCUUCGACGGGUAGCCGGCCUGAGAGGGUGACCGGCCACACGUGGGACUGAGACACGGCCCAGACCUCCGUACGGGAGGCAGCGAGGUGGGGAAUAUUGGAACAAGUGGGACGAAAGGCCUAGGACUCCGAAGCGAAACGCCGGCGGUAGGAGGAUGGACGGCCGUUUCGGGUUACGUAACC